GAAUAGAGAACGAAGUGACGGCACGAGGGGCCGUUGCACGUUCAGAAGGCAUCGUCAUCCCUUCGCAAGCGGCCGGUCUUCGGCGGGACCAACUCCUGGUCAAGGAGAAAAUGUCCACCCGCACAUCGUGCACUGGCGGUACGUCUUGCCGCUGUUGACAGUUCAUCACCACCGUUUCGGAAGCCAUGCGCGUACUUCUUGCAAACGGUUUGAUGUGGGGCAACGCUCUUUUGGCCAUCCAAGCCUUUAUCAUCGUAAUCAUCGGUUCUUUUAUCGGACUAAACUGGCAGCGCCACAUCACCACCAUAUUCCGAAGCCACCACCCAGCUCUAGUGAUAAUUUUCUUCAUUCUGACGGGUUUAACACUGAUAUUUGUGUCACUCUUUGGCAUCUGCAUCUCACAUAAACUUCGCAAGAAGCAUCCUGGAGACAAAGCCGUAAAAGGUUGCGAUGUCUACACCGCAAUGGCUCUCGUUAUGCUUGUAAGCUUGGUAAUCAACGCUACUAUCGUCGUACACCACAUAAAAGACAUGAGGAAGACCUCAGACCAAGAUUUGCGGUACACGAUGUACCAGUACUUUGUGGAUGAUACGUCCAGGGAGCCACUCGAUAACCUCCACAAGGACUUUAGCUGUUGCGGUCUGAACAGGUUUACUGAUUGGACAGCUGCCACGAAAUUGGCGACGAAUAAGACACACGGAGAAGGUGAAAGACACGCCAGAGCGAAAGUGCCACGGUCCUGUUGUCUGGUUGAGCACAGCGACGGAGGAUGCUUGGAGUACUACGAAGAUGGCUGCGGCCCAGCAGUGCACGAUUAUUUUAACAUACUCUUCCCGUCCACGGUGGUUAGCGGAGUUUGCAUUGCUCUCUGGUUGGUCGUGUUGAUGACGACUGCACAGAGACUGAAGCAGACGCUCAGUGGAAAGACAGCUUCUUCGAAGGCCGUGGGGAGAUGAACCGUACCUCUCGACUGUUGUGCGAGUGCAUUCAUACACCGAAAUUGCGAUUAAGUAUGGUUUAUUGUUAUUACUGUUUUGAAUGGCAGUUCCCUGAUUUUACUUUUACUUGUAUAGUCGGGACAGCAUGCGGCAGGACAAAUAGGAUUUUAUAUGAAAUGUCGUAAUAAAAUAUUUAGGUUGAUGAA
Molecule: long non-coding RNA, 1144 nt
Organism: Ornithodoros turicata
Lineage: Eukaryota; Metazoa; Arthropoda; Arachnida; Ixodida; Argasidae
Exons: 2
Source: RefSeq, a predicted model, not a curated record